This 957-nucleotide ribosomal RNA is filed under the name uncultured bacterium. RNAcentral's name for it is "bacterial SSU rRNA". It matches the Rfam family "Bacterial small subunit ribosomal RNA", at positions 8 to 958 of the family's 1533-position model. The record is from RNAcentral.
AGAGUUUGAUCCUGGCUCAGAUUGAACGCUGGCGGCAUGCCUAACACAUGCAAGUCGAACGGAAACGAUGCUAGCUUGCUAGCAGGCGUCGAGUGGCGGACGGGUGAGUAAUGCAUAGGAAUCUACCUAAUAGUGGGGGACAACCUGGUGAAAACCAGGCUAAUACCGCAUAAUCCCUACGGGGCAAAGCAGGGGACCUUCGGGCCUUGCGCUAAUAGAUGAGCCUAUGUCGGAUUAGCUAGUUGGUGAGGUAAUGGCUCACCAAGGCGACGAUCCGUAGCUGGUUUGAGAGAAUGAUCAGCCACACUGGGACUGAGACACGGCCCAGACUCCUACGGGAGGCAGCAGUGGGGAAUAUUGCACAAUGGAGGAAACUCUGAUGCAGCAAUGCCGCGUGUGUGAAGAAGGCCUUAGGGUUGUAAAGCACUUUCAGUAGGGAGGAAAAGUUUGAGGUUAAUAACCUUAGGCCCUGACGUUACCUACAGAAGAAGCACCGGCUAACUCCGUGCCAGCAGCCGCGGUAAUACGGAGGGUGCAAGCGUUAAUCGGAAUUACUGGGCGUAAAGCGCGCGUAGGCGGUUAAUUAAGUCAGAUGUGAAAGCCCUGGGCUCAACCUGGGAACUGCAUUUGAAACUGGUUAACUAGAGUAUGGUAGAGGAGAGUGGAAUUUCAGGUGUAGCGGUGAAAUGCGUAGAGAUCUGAAGGAACACCAGUGGCGAAGGCGGCUCUCUGGACCAAUACUGACGCUGAGGUGCGAAAGCGUGGGUAGCAAACGGGAUUAGAUACCCCGGUAGUCCACGCCGUAAACGAUGUCAACUAACUGUUGGGCGGGUUGCCGCUUAGUGGUGCAGCUAACGUAUUAAGUUGACCGCCUGGGGAGUACGGCCGCAAGGCUAAAACUCAACGAAUUGACGGGGGCCCGCACAAGCGGUGGAGCAUGUGGUUUAAUUCGAUGCA